AGAGUUUGAUCCUGGCUCAGGAUGAACGCUGGCGGCGUGCCUAAUACAUGCAAGUCGAGCGAACGGACGAGAAGCUUGCUUCUCUGAUGUUAGCGGCGGACGGGUGAGUAACACGUGGAUAACCUACCUAUAAGACUGGGAUAACUUCGGGAAACCGGAGCUAAUACCGGAUAAUAUUUUGAACCGCAUGGUUCAAAAGUGAAAGACGGUCUUGCUGUCACUUAUAGAUGGAUCCGCGCUGCAUUAGCUAGUUGGUAAGGUAACGGCUUACCAAGGCAACGAUGCAUAGCCGACCUGAGAGGGUGAUCGGCCACACUGGAACUGAGACACGGUCCAGACUCCUACGGGAGGCAGCAGUAGGGAAUCUUCCGCAAUGGGCGAAAGCCUGACGGAGCAACGCCGCGUGAGUGAUGAAGGUCUUCGGAUCGUAAAACUCUGUUAUUAGGGAAGAACAUAUGUGUAAGUAACUGUGCACAUCUUGACGGUACCUAAUCAGAAAGCCACGGCUAACUACGUGCCAGCAGCCGCGGUAAUACGUAGGUGGCAAGCGUUAUCCGGAAUUAUUGGGCGUAAAGCGCGCGUAGGCGGUUUUUUAAGUCUGAUGUGAAAGCCCACGGCUCAACCGUGGAGGGUCAUUGGAAACUGGAAAACUUGAGUGCAGAAGAGGAAAGUGGAAUUCCAUGUGUAGCGGUGAAAUGCGCAGAGAUAUGGAGGAACACCAGUGGCGAAGGCGACUUUCUGGUCUGUAACUGACGCUGAUGUGCGAAAGCGUGGGGAUCAAACAGGAUUAGAUACCCUGGUAGUCCACGCCGUAAACGAUGAGUGCUAAGUGUUAGGGGGUUUCCGCCCCUUAGUGCUGCAGCUAACGCAUUAAGCACUCCGCCUGGGGAGUACGACCGCAAGGUUGAAACUCAAAGGAAUUGACGGGGACCCGCACAAGCGGUGGAGCAUGUGGUUUAAUUCGAAGCAACGCGAAGAACCUUACCAAAUCUUGACAUCCUUUGACAACUCUAGAGAUAGAGCCUUCCCCUUCGGGGGACAAAGUGACAGGUGGUGCAUGGUUGUCGUCAGCUCGUGUCGUGAGAUGUUGGGUUAAGUCCCGCAACGAGCGCAACCCUUAAGCUUAGUUGCCAUCAUUAAGUUGGGCACUCUAAGUUGACUGCCGGUGACAAACCGGAGGAAGGUGGGGAUGACGUCAAAUCAUCAUGCCCCUUAUGAUUUGGGCUACACACGUGCUACAAUGGACAAUACAAAGGGCAGCGAAACCGCGAGGUCAAGCAAAUCCCAUAAAGUUGUUCUCAGUUCGGAUUGUAGUCUGCAACUCGACUACAUGAAGCUGGAAUCGCUAGUAAUCGUAGAUCAGCAUGCUACGGUGAAUACGUUCCCGGGUCUUGUACACACCGCCCGUCACACCAUGAGAGUUUGUAACACCCGAAGCCGGUGGAGUAACCUUUUAGGAGCUAGCCGUCGAAGGUGGGACAAAUGAUUGGGGUGAAGUCGUAACAAGGUAGCCGUAUCGGAAGGUGCGGCUGGAUCACCU
Molecule: ribosomal RNA, 1540 nt
Filed under: Staphylococcus aureus GGMC6036
Lineage: Bacteria; Bacillati; Bacillota; Bacilli; Caryophanales; Staphylococcaceae
Description: 16S ribosomal RNA
Rfam family: Bacterial small subunit ribosomal RNA
Source: RNAcentral